GAUUCCCCUAGUAACGGCGAGUGAAGCGGGAUGAGCUCAAGCUUAAAAUCUCCACAGGAGUUUCCUGUGGCGAAUUGUAGUCUAUAGAGGCGCUGUCAGUGCGUCUGCUCGGGAUAAGUCUCUUGGAAAAGAGCAGCAUGGAGGGUGAUACUCCCGUUCUUGCCUGAGUAGAUUGCGCGUACGACACGUUUUCUUUGAGUCGCGUUGUUUGGGAAUGCAGCGCAAAGUGGGUGGUAAAUUCCAUCUAAAGCUAAAUAUUGGUGCGAGACCGAUAGCGAACAAGUACCGUGAGGGAAAGAUGAAAAGAACUUUGAAAAGAGAGUUAAAGAGUACCUGAAACUGCUGAAAGGGAACCGAAUCGUUUCCAGUGUCUAUAAUCCGUAGCAUAUUUCAUUGGCGAGUGGAUGCGUGCAGUGUUAAUGGCAGUGGCUUGCUGCGCCUUGCAUUGUUCUGCGUUUACUUGCUGGUGCCCUGUGUUGCGGUGAGACGUCAGAGUCAGUUCGUAUGCUGCGGGAAAUGGUCGUCGAGGAGGUAGGUGUUUUGCACUGUUAUAUCUCGGCUGACUAGUCGUCGUGGUUGGGACUGAGGUGCCUACAAUGUGCUUUAACGUCUUGCGGGCGCUCAUUUGAUCAACUGCUCUGAUAGCUUGCUAUGUUUGUGGUUUGGUCGGGUGAUUGUGUUUGUAAGUAACGUUUGCCGUUCGGGACUUUGACGA
Molecule: ribosomal RNA, 715 nt
Filed under: Lagenidium sp. PWL-2010e
Lineage: Eukaryota; Oomycota; Peronosporomycetes; Pythiales; Pythiaceae
Description: eukaryotic LSU rRNA
Rfam family: Eukaryotic large subunit ribosomal RNA
Source: RNAcentral